GUGUCUGGUGGGUAGUUUGACUGGGGCGGUCUCCUCCUAAAGAGUAACGGAGGAGCACGAAGGUUGGCUAAUCCUGGUCGGACAUCAGGAGGUUAGUGCAAUGGCAUAAGCCAGCUUGACUGCGAGCGUGACGGCGCGAGCAGGUGCGAAAGCAGGUCAUAGUGAUCCGGUGGUUCUGAAUGGAAGGGCCAUCGCUCAACGGAUAAAAGGUACUCCGGGGAUAACAGGCUGAUACCGCCCAAGAGUUCAUAUCGACGGCGGUGUUUGGCACCUCGAUGUCGGCUCAUCACAUCCUGGGGCUGAAGUAGGUCCCAAGGGUAUGGCUGUUCGCCAUUUAAAGUGGUACGCGAGCUGGGUUUAGAACGUCGUGAGACAGUUCGGUCCCUAUCUGCCGUGGGCGCUGGAGAACUGAGGGGGGCUGCUCCUAGUACGAGAGGACCGGAGUGGACGCAUCACUGGUGUUCGGGUUGUCAUGCCAAUGGCACUGCCCGGUAGCUAAAUGCGGAAGAGAUAAGUGCUGAAAGCAUCUAAGCACGAAACUUGCCCCGAGAUGAGUUCUCCCUGAGACUACGAGUCUCCUGAAGGAACGUUGAAGACGACGACGUUGAUAGGCCGGGUGUGUAAGCGCAGCGAUGCGUUGAGCUAACCGGUACUAAUGAACCGUGAGGCUUAACCUUAC
Molecule: ribosomal RNA, 679 nt
Filed under: Salmonella enterica
Lineage: Bacteria; Pseudomonadati; Pseudomonadota; Gammaproteobacteria; Enterobacterales; Enterobacteriaceae
Also listed under: 1 other name
Description: partial 23S ribosomal RNA
Rfam family: Bacterial large subunit ribosomal RNA
Source: RNAcentral